Molecule: non-coding RNA, 1616 nt
Organism: Pelobates cultripes (western spadefoot toad)
Lineage: Eukaryota; Metazoa; Chordata; Amphibia; Anura; Pelobatidae
Source: the annotation of a GenBank genome assembly
GGGGUGUGGCCUGACCAUCAACAAGAGCAGUCGCAUGUCUGCAAUGCUCCAGACUGAAAUCGGCAAAAACAAUGAAACUAACCCAAAACCUGAAGUGCCCCAUCAGCAACUCGGCUCCUAACCCACAUCACGCCAUGGGGAAACUAGCAUAAAACCUACUCUGACAACGGCACACGGAAGAUAGGAGACAUAUUUCUGGCAUGGAUUAAACACAAAAUGGUGGCUCUCAAGGCCUAACAUAGGAUGAGGACCCGCUGGACUCCCCUGGCGCCAUACCAGAGGCAGAUGAUCCAUUCACGGCGGGGCAAUUGGAGGAUGUCCUGCAACAAAAGGAGACAUCGUGAGCCUUUUGAAACAUCUGCGCACAUGGUUAGGCACAGACAUAGAGGUGCUCUGUGAGGAGGUUACAGCCAUAACAGACAGGGUGAAGGCCACAGAGGAGGAUGUCUCCUCCAUAGCACAACGGAACACACACCAACAUAAAAGUCAGAGGUGUCGCUGAAAUGGUAACGGACACUGAGCUACCCCACUUCAUCUGGCGCCUAUUGUCAGCGAUAUUGCUCACCAAGGCAGGCGAAAACCAUACAAGUGGACAGACCACACAGGCUCCCCGGGUCUCCUAGGGCACCGCCAGCCACACACCGCGAUGUCCUCCUUUGAUUCCAGUCCCCCUGGGACAAACAAGCAUUAAUGGAUGCACUCAAGAACAAAUGCCCAUUCCCAUUCGAAGAAUCACAACUCACCUUUCUGCAGGAUCUCUGCAGGGCAACAUUGGAAUGGAGGCGCUCCGUCAGCCGGGUCACCAGGACCCUCCGCGAAGCUGGCAUCCAUUACAGAUGGGGCCCAUCACACACACUCAUAGCCACCCAGGGAGAGACCACCCGCCAACUCACAUCAGCGACAGACUCUGACUCUUUUCUCCACAGCCUGGGGCUGGACAGACCCAAAACAUACACUUCCACCCCUGGGACAUACCUAAUAUAAUCCCCUUCGUAGCUCGCUCAGAGCCAGAUACUGGCUGAAACACCACUAGUGGAGUUGGUUAACGUAACCCCCCAGCGGAGAAGUGUGCCGAGGGACUAGAAUUCCAAUUAUAGUCCAAUUUUAGCCUAGUUAUAUUAUUAGUUUACAUUAUGCAUAUUUAGCCAAGUUUUACUGCUUCUAUAAUUUGCUGCGGUUCUUACACCAGUCCGUAAUGGAGAGUCAGACCGAACAAAUCCCCCCCCCCCCGAUGCUCAGGGGUCAAUGAGCAGUUCCCCUGUUCCUCCCACAUGGUAACACUAAGCCAGACACCGGCUACCAGCAUUGCACCUCUCUCAAGUACUACCACUUGUUUUAAUUUACCACACUAAUUAUUAGCCUACCCACUGAAAUCCCUAUAAAACAGCUAUACCACGUCUGUUAUUAGAUUAUCCCUUAAAUUAGCAGGUCGUUUAUAUAAGAAGUGCAAGCCCAUCUUAGAUCCUGCUAAUUAACUAACAUGUGAGGCAUUGAUUAGCUUGUUUAUUUGUGUUAUAAAAAAUGUGCAAUUAUCUCAUGCCAUGGCACUGCCUUUUCCUGUCAUUUACUGCCGUGCUUGUCAACGCUGUCGUGGCGCCACAAACCUGUGUUUUCUC